RNAcentral lists this ribosomal RNA (642 nucleotides) under Trichoderma asperellum. RNAcentral describes it as "eukaryotic LSU rRNA". The stretch from base 254 to 407 matches the Rfam family "5.8S ribosomal RNA". Lineage: Eukaryota; Fungi; Ascomycota; Sordariomycetes; Hypocreales; Hypocreaceae. The record is from RNAcentral.
CUUGGUUCAAUUAGAGGAAGUAAAAGUCGUAACAAGGUCUCCGUUGGUGAACCAGCGGAGGGAUCAUUACCGAGUUUACAACUCCCAAACCCAAUGUGAACGUUACCAAACUGUUGCCUCGGCGGGGUCACGCCCCGGGUGCGUCGCAGCCCCGGAACCAGGCGCCCGCCGGAGGAACCAACCAAACUCUUUCUGUAGUCCCCUCGCGGACGUAUUUCUUUACAGCUCUGAGCAAAAAUUCAAAAUGAAUCAAAACUUUCAACAACGGAUCUCUUGGUUCUGGCAUCGAUGAAGAACGCAGCGAAAUGCGAUAAGUAAUGUGAAUUGCAGAAUUCAGUGAAUCAUCGAAUCUUUGAACGCACAUUGCGCCCGCCAGUAUUCUGGCGGGCAUGCCUGUCCGAGCGUCAUUUCAACCCUCGAACCCCUCCGGGGGAUCGGCGUUGGGGAUCGGGACCCCUCACACGGGUGCCGGCCCCUAAAUACAGUGGCGGUCUCGCCGCAGCCUCUCCUGCGCAGUAGUUUGCACAACUCGCACCGGGAGCGCGGCGCGUCCACGUCCGUAAAACACCCAACUUUCUGAAAUGUUGACCUCGGAUCAGGUAGGAAUACCCGCUGAACUUAAGCAUAUCAAUAAGCGGAGGA